CGAGUAAGACAGGUAAUCGCGGCUGCAAAAAGCCGAAAGGCUGCAGGCGAGGAAAGUCCGGGCUUCACAGGGCAGGAUGCCGGAUAACGUCCGGUGGAGGCGACUCCAAGGAUAGUGCAACAGAAAUGAACCGCCUUCUUA
RNAcentral lists this RNase P RNA (141 nucleotides) under Dorea sp. Its description in RNAcentral is "partial RNase P RNA component class A". It matches the Rfam family "Bacterial RNase P class A", at positions 1 to 136 of the family's 367-position model. Rfam says of the family: Ribonuclease P (RNase P) is a ubiquitous endoribonuclease, found in archaea, bacteria and eukarya as well as chloroplasts and mitochondria. Lineage: Bacteria; Bacillati; Bacillota; Clostridia; Lachnospirales; Lachnospiraceae. The record is from RNAcentral.